UAGCCUACGGGGGGCAGCAGUGGGGAAUAUUGCACAAUGGGGGAAACCCUGAUGCAGCGACGCCGCGUGAGUGAGGAAGCAUUUCGGUAUGUAAAGCUCUAUAAGCAGGGAAGAAAAUGACGGUACCUGACUAAGAAGCCCCGGCUAACUACGUGCCAGCAGCCGCGGCAAUACGUAGGGGGCAAGCGUUGUCCGGAUUUACUGGGUGUAAAGGGAGCGUAGACGGAGGAGCAAGUCUGA
This 240-nucleotide ribosomal RNA is filed under the name uncultured bacterium. Its description in RNAcentral is "partial 16S ribosomal RNA". It matches the Rfam family "Bacterial small subunit ribosomal RNA", at positions 335 to 592 of the family's 1533-position model. The record is from RNAcentral.